UACGUAGGGUGCGGGCGUUAAUCGGAAUUACUGGGCGUAAAGCGUGCGCAGGCGGUUUUGUAAGCCAGGUGUGAAAGCCCCGGGCUUAACCUGGGAAUGGCAUUUGGGACUGCAAGGCUGGAGUGUGGCAGAGGAGACUGGAAUUCCUGGUGUAGCAGUGAAAUGCGUAGAUAUCAGGAGGAACACCGAUGGCGAAGGCAGGUCUCUGGGCUGACACUGACGCUCAUGCACGAAAGCGUGGGGAGCAAACAGG
Molecule: ribosomal RNA, 253 nt
Filed under: uncultured bacterium
Lineage: Bacteria
Description: partial 16S ribosomal RNA
Rfam family: Bacterial small subunit ribosomal RNA
Source: RNAcentral